UGGGGAAUAUUGCACAAUGGGCGAAAGCCUGAUGCAGCAACGCCGCGUGAGUGAUGAAGGUCUUCGGAUUGUAAAGCUCUGUCUUUUGGGACGAUAAUGACGGUACCAAAGGAGGAAGCCACGGCUAACUACGUGCCAGCAGCCGCGGUAAUACGUAGGUGGCGAGCGUUGUCCGGAUUUACUGGGCGUAAAGGGUGCGUAGGCGGAUGUUUAAGUGAGAUGCGAAAUACCCGGGCUUAACUUGGGUGCUGCAUUUCAAACUGGAUAUCUAGAGUGCAGGAGAGGAGAAUGGAAUUCCUAGUGUAGCGGUGAAAUGCGUAGAGAUUAGGAAGAACACCAGUGGCGAAGGCGAUUCUCUGGACUGUAACUGACGCUGAGGCACGAAAGCGUGGGUAGCAAACAGGAUUAGAUACCCUGGUAGUCCACGCCGUAAAACGAUGAGUACUAGGUGUAGGAGGUAUCGACCCCUUCUGUGCCGCAGUAAACACAUUAAGUACUCCGCCUGGGAAGUACGAUCGCAAGAUUAAAAC
This 530-nucleotide ribosomal RNA is filed under the name uncultured bacterium. RNAcentral's name for it is "partial 16S ribosomal RNA". It matches the Rfam family "Bacterial small subunit ribosomal RNA", at positions 355 to 900 of the family's 1533-position model. The record is from RNAcentral.